GGGUAAGUCUUAUACGGCCAGCUCCCGUGAAACUCCCCAGGUUCGGAAGGAAGCAAGGAUAAACGGUUGUAGCGGUGCGAUAUAAGUAGCUUACCCCUU
This 99-nucleotide signal recognition particle RNA is filed under the name Bacteroidia bacterium. Its description in RNAcentral is "signal recognition particle sRNA small type". It matches the Rfam family "Bacteroidales small SRP". Rfam says of the family: The non-coding component of the signal recognition particle in Bacteroides The record is from RNAcentral. Lineage: Bacteria; Pseudomonadati; Bacteroidota; Bacteroidia.